Molecule: ribosomal RNA, 388 nt
Filed under: uncultured bacterium
Lineage: Bacteria
Description: bacterial SSU rRNA
Rfam family: Bacterial small subunit ribosomal RNA
Source: RNAcentral
GACGAACGCUGGCGGCGUGCUUAACACAUGCAAGUCGAGCGGUAAGGCCCCUUCGGGGGUACACGAGCGGCGAACGGGUGAGUAACACGUGGGUGACCUGCCCUCAGCUCUGGGAUAAGCCUGGGAAACUGGGUCUAAUACCGGAUAUGACUCCAUGACGCAUGUCGUGGGGUGGAAAGCCUUGUGCGGCUGGGGAUGGGCCCGCGGCCUAUCAGCUUGUUGGUGGGGUGAUGGCCUACCAAGGCGACGACGGGUAGCCGGCCUGAGAGGGCGACCGGCCACGCUGGGACUGAGACACGGCCCAGACUCCUACGGGAGGCAGCAGUGGGGAAUCUUGCGCAAUGGGCGAAAGCCUGACGCAGCGACGCCGCGUGAGGGAUGACGGCCU